AGGCAAUUGUUCCAAACCGGAGGUGGUCUAGGUGGUGGUAAUGGAGGUGGCAUUGCUACCAAGGUCGUAUGCCUGACAGAGGUGGUUACUGCAGAUGAGCUUAAAGAUGAUGAAGAGUAUGAAGAUAUUUUGGAAGAUAUGAGGGUAGAAGGUGGAAAAUUUGGUACAUUGAUGAAUAUUGUCAUCCCCCGUCCACAACCUAACGGUGAACCCUCUCUAGGACUUGGAAAGGUUAGUUUCAGUGUAAGGCUUUCGUUGAGAACUACGACACUUCAUGUAUAAGCCAGUGCCUCUACGGUAUCAUCUACCACUAUGUUUCUCAUAAUCGGUGUUAGGUUUACCAAGAAGAGAGUGUGCAGCAAAAAUGGAUCAUUUCCAUUUAGCAAUGUAACCCAGACUACCAUACUGGAACGUGUAUGCUACUGUCAUAUUUGUAGGGAAGGCCAAUAUCUGUGUUUUACGAUUUAUAUGAUAUUUUUAGUCAUGUUCAAAGAAUCUAUCAUUUUAUUUUCUUUCGUUGCGCAACACACUUUCAUACAAGGUGAUUUGAAGUUAGCUAGGUAAUGCAAUUGGAGUGGUAGGUUAACUUGAAUGAAUGUAAAUGUGCUACACUGGCAUGUUAAUGUGAAUGUGAAAUACUUUCGGCAAUUCAUGCAAUUCGGUUUCAGCUAUAA
Molecule: long non-coding RNA, 674 nt
Organism: Papaver somniferum (opium poppy)
Lineage: Eukaryota; Viridiplantae; Streptophyta; Magnoliopsida; Ranunculales; Papaveraceae
Exons: 3
Source: RefSeq, a predicted model, not a curated record